GAUGAACGCUGGCGGCGUGCCUAAUACAUGCAAGUCGAGCGAACAGAUAAGGAGCUUGCUCCUUUGACUUUAGCGGCGGACGGGUGAGUAACACGUGGGUAACCUACCUAUAAGACUGGAAUAACUACGGGAAACCGGAGCUAAUGCCGGAUAACAUGUUGAACCGCAUGGUUCUACAGUGAAAGGCGGCUUUGCUGUCACUUAUAGAUGGACCCGCGCCGUAUUAGCUAGUUGGUGAGGUAACGUCUCACCGAGGCAACGAUACGUAGCCGACCUGAGAGGGUGAUCGGCCACACGGGAACUGAGACACGGUCCAGACUCCUGCGAGAGGCAGCAGUAGGGAAUCGUACGCAAAAGGCGAAAGCCUGACGGAGCAGCGGCGCGUGAGUGAUGAAGGUCUUCGGAUCGUAAAACUCUGUUAUUAGGGAAGAACAAAUGCGUAAGUAGAUGUGCGCGUCUUGACGGUAACUAAUAAGAAAGCAACGGCUAACUACGUG
RNAcentral lists this ribosomal RNA (497 nucleotides) under uncultured bacterium. Its description in RNAcentral is "partial 16S ribosomal RNA". It matches the Rfam family "Bacterial small subunit ribosomal RNA", at positions 28 to 507 of the family's 1533-position model. The record is from RNAcentral.